UGGGGCGUCGUCUAAUUGGCAGGACAGCGGUCUUUGGAGCCGUUAGUGGAGGUUCGAGUCCUCCCGCCCCAG
Molecule: transfer RNA, 72 nt
Filed under: Candidatus Hydrothermia bacterium
Lineage: Bacteria; Pseudomonadati; Caldifarciminota; Caldifarciminia
Description: tRNA-Gln
Rfam family: tRNA
About the family: Transfer RNA (tRNA) molecules are approximately 80 nucleotides in length. Their secondary structure includes four short double-helical elements and three loops (D, anti-codon, and T loops).
Source: RNAcentral